CAUGAGUGGCGGACGGGUGAGUAACGCGUGGGCAACCUGGCCUGUACAGGGGGAUAACACUUAGAAAUAGGUGCUAAUACCGCAUAACGGGGGAAGCCGCAUGGCUUUUCCCUGAAAACUCCGGUGGUACAGGAUGGGCCCGCGUCUGAUUAGCCAGUUGGCGGGGUAGGGGCCCACCAAGGCGACGAUCAGUAGCCGGCCUGAGAGGGUGGACGGCCACAUUGGGACUGAGACACGGCCCAAACUCCUACGGAAGGCAGCAG
Molecule: ribosomal RNA, 263 nt
Filed under: uncultured bacterium
Lineage: Bacteria
Description: partial 16S ribosomal RNA
Rfam family: Bacterial small subunit ribosomal RNA
Source: RNAcentral